Molecule: long non-coding RNA, 690 nt
Filed under: Zonotrichia albicollis (white-throated sparrow)
Lineage: Eukaryota; Metazoa; Chordata; Aves; Passeriformes; Passerellidae
Description: lncRNA (ENSZALG00000011261.1)
Source: RNAcentral
GUUUGCAUUUUGUGCUCACACAGGCUGCUUAAUUCACAUGUUAAUUUUUCAGGUCCAAAUGGAGAUGAUUUUCACCUACCUGCUUCCUUGGUGUGUUGGGCUGCCUCUGAGGCAAUCUUAAUGAAGCCUUUUGUAUUCUUGGGAUGAAGAUGAUCCACAGAGAGAAGAGUUAACGUGAUCACUCCUAGGCAGGGGAAGGUGGCUGCAGAAUGAAGGCCUGAGAGAUUGGUUACAGGUUUUCCCCUUGGGACAGAUGGCAAGCCACAUUCCUCUGCCACACUCACUUCUGCUGGGAAGAAGGGAUAAUGCAACAUGCCUCAUGGAGAACCAUCAGUGCUGAUCUCAGUGACCAGCAGAGGCAACCUGCUGAUAGCUUGGAUUGUCUAAUGAUUAGCAGUGGGAUGGAGAAGACACCAACUGUUCUGUGCCAAACAGGGGCUCGGCAAUCCCAUUUCAGCCAGAAUAAGUGGAGUAAAGGCAGCCAGCACUGUCUGGAGGAAAAUGCCACACAGUGAGCCAUGCAUCUCUGCAAGCUGCAUAGGCAAAGGUUUUAAGCUCUUGCUGAAAGUUCACCUCUUCUUGCUGGCUUCCUUGUGGUGUUUGUGAGGUCCCCAGGAUGAGGUAAGAGAUGAGAAUUUGACUCCAUGUUCCUAGAAGGCUGAAUAAUAUAAUAUGACAUGACAUAUGACA